Molecule: small RNA, 163 nt
Filed under: Sphingomonadales bacterium
Lineage: Bacteria; Pseudomonadati; Pseudomonadota; Alphaproteobacteria; Sphingomonadales
Description: Manganese sequence
Rfam family: Manganese Mn2+ riboswitch aptamer (yybP-ykoY)
About the family: This RNA was originally discovered in E. coli during a large scale screen and was named SraF. The family was later found to exist upstream of related families of protein genes in many bacteria, including the the yybP and ykoK genes in B. subtilis.
Source: RNAcentral
CUUCCUGUUGGGGAGUAGCUUCCGGCAUCUGAUCGCCGGGGUCGGAUCAACACACUCGCGUUUCGACGCGUGGUCCGACCAGCGGAACCACCGCCUGGCGAGACCAGCGCGUCCCACCACCGCACCGGCCGGGGAGGGAAGCGCUGUUCGUCGCCCGGUGGAU